GCUACACAUGCAGUCGAACGCAUGGCUUCGGCCAUGAGUGGCGAACGGGUGAGUAACACGUAGGUUACGUGCCCUUUGGUGGGGAAUAACCCAGGGAAACCUGGGCUAAUACCGCAUAUGUCCUUCGGGAUGAAAGCCUUCGGGCGCCAGAGGAUCGGCCUGCGGCCCAUUAUUUAAUCCUUGUUGGUGAGGUAACGGCUCACCAAGGGUACGAUGGGUAGCUGAUCUGAGAGGAUGAUCAGCCACACUGGGACUGAGACACGGCCCAGACUCCUACGGGAGGCAGCAGUGGGGAAUAUUGGACAAUGGGCGAAAGCCUGAUCCAGCCACGCCGCGUGAGUGAUGAAGGCCUUCGGGUUGUAAAGCUCUGUCGGGAGGGACGAAAGCUUCGGCUUGACGGUACCUCGCAAGAAAGCACCGGCUAACUCCGUGCCAGCAGCCGCGGUAAUACGGAGGGUGCAAGCGUUGCUCGGAAUUACUGGGCGUAAAGCGAGCGCAGGCGGUCUGAUAAGUCGGUUGUGAAAGCCCCGGGCUCAACCCGGGAACUGCGAUCGAAACUGCCAGACUUGAGUACGGGAGAGGGAAGUGGAAUUCCUGGUGUAGAGGUGAUAUUCGUUGAUAUCAGGAGGAACACCGGCGGCGAAGGCGACUUCCUGGCCCGAUACUGACGCUCAUGCUCGAAAGCGUGGGGAGCAAACAGGAUUAGAUACCCUGGUAGUCCACGCUGUAAACGAUGAAUGCUAGGUGUUGGAGGUAUUCACCCCUUCAGUGCCGAAGCUAACGCAUUAAGCAUUCCGCCUG
RNAcentral lists this ribosomal RNA (801 nucleotides) under uncultured bacterium. RNAcentral describes it as "bacterial SSU rRNA". It matches the Rfam family "Bacterial small subunit ribosomal RNA", at positions 48 to 875 of the family's 1533-position model. The record is from RNAcentral.